GGAGAGAUGCUCGAGUGGCUUAAGAGGCACGCCUGGAAAGCGUGUAGGCGCCAAAAGUGCCACGGGGGUUCGAAUCCCCCUCUCUCCG
Molecule: transfer RNA, 88 nt
Filed under: Prevotella sp.
Lineage: Bacteria; Pseudomonadati; Bacteroidota; Bacteroidia; Bacteroidales; Prevotellaceae
Description: tRNA-Ser
Rfam family: tRNA
About the family: Transfer RNA (tRNA) molecules are approximately 80 nucleotides in length.
Source: RNAcentral